GCAUUGAUGGUUCAGUGGUAGAAUUCUUGCCUUCCAUGCAGGAGACCUAGGUUCACUUCUAGGACAGUGCA
RNAcentral lists this transfer RNA (71 nucleotides) under Loxodonta africana (African savanna elephant). It matches the Rfam family "tRNA". Rfam says of the family: Transfer RNA (tRNA) molecules are approximately 80 nucleotides in length. Their secondary structure includes four short double-helical elements and three loops (D, anti-codon, and T loops). The record is from Rfam by way of RNAcentral. Lineage: Eukaryota; Metazoa; Chordata; Mammalia; Proboscidea; Elephantidae.